RNAcentral lists this ribosomal RNA (724 nucleotides) under Pichia fermentans. Its description in RNAcentral is "partial large subunit ribosomal RNA". It matches the Rfam family "Eukaryotic large subunit ribosomal RNA", at positions 85 to 833 of the family's 3401-position model. Lineage: Eukaryota; Fungi; Ascomycota; Pichiomycetes; Pichiales; Pichiaceae. The record is from RNAcentral.
AGCGGCGAGUGAAGCGGCAAAAGCUCAGAUUUGGAAUCGCUUCGGCGAGUUGUGAAUUGCAGGUUGGCGCCUCUGCGGCGGCGGCGGUCCAAGUCCCUUGGAACAGGGCGCCAUUGAGGGUGAGAGCCCCGUGGGACCGUUUGCCUACGCUUUGAGGCCCUUCUGACGAGUCGAGUUGUUUGGGAAUGCAGCUCUAAGCGGGUGGUAAAUUCCAUCUAAGGCUAAAUACUGGCGAGAGACCGAUAGCGAACAAGUACUGUGAAGGAAAGAUGAAAAGCACUUUGAAAAGAGAGUGAAACAGCACGUGAAAUUGUUGAAAGGGAAGGGUAUUGCGCCCGACAUGGAGCGUGCGCACCGCUGCCCCUCGUGGGCGGCGCUCUGGGCGUGCUCUGGGCCAGCAUCGGUUUUUGCCGCGGGAGAAGGGCGGCGGGCAUGUAGCUCUUCGGAGUGUUAUAGCCUGCCGCCGGCGCCGCGAGCGGGGACCGAGGACUGCGACUUUUGUCUCGGAUGCUGGCACAACGGCGCAACACCGCCCGUCUUGAAACAUGGACCAAGGAGUCUAACGUCUAUGCGAGUGUUUGGGUGUGAAACCCCGGGCGCGUAAUGAAAGUGAACGUAGGUCGGACCGCUCCUCUCGGGGGGCGGGCACGAUCGACCGAUCCUGAUGUCUUCGGAUGGAUUUGAGUAAGAGCAUAGCUGUUGGGACCCGAAAGAUGGUGAACUA